Molecule: long non-coding RNA, 573 nt
Organism: Rana temporaria (common frog)
Lineage: Eukaryota; Metazoa; Chordata; Amphibia; Anura; Ranidae
Exons: 3
Source: RefSeq, a predicted model, not a curated record
AUUUGCUUGACUCAAUCACAAGGAACCACACACCGAUCCUACACACAGGUCACCCUUUUCGCUGGGAGCUCAGCCACAAUCUCUUGGAACACUAUGCACUUAUUGUGCACACAUAGCAUUUUGGAUCAAGCUGUUACCAUCGUGUUAUGCUCUGGGCGCUGUUCCCCAUCCUUGGAGAGUUCCCCCAUCUCAACCCCGGGGGAGACACCAUGCCCGUACCACCGUCUACCUUGGCAGAUACCGAACUUGACCUUGAGGCUGUACAUAUAUUUAUAACACUCCUGGUGAAUGGCUGAAAUUCCAGGAAGCACAUAGCCACUAGAUGCCAACAGUUACUUGUCUCUACUACCUAUGUUCUUCAAUUGAUUUAUUUUACCAUGUACUGUAUAUCUGCCAUGUCUAAUUUGUAUUUGUAUUGCAUGCUAUGAGCAGCAUAUUUAGAGUAAGUCUUGUGACUACCUAUCUAUUUGAUACAAAAAAUCUGAUAUGUAUUCAAGAUUGUAAUAAAUCAUGUACUGUAACUUCAUUGUUAUGUUAUUAUUCUCUCUUGACAUGGUGUUCCCACAUUUAAAG